GGGGGGCUGGCGCAACGGUAGCGUGUCAGAUUCCAGUCUCAUAUUGGAGCAUCCUGAAGGUUAUCGGUUCAAAUCCGGUGUCCCUCA
RNAcentral lists this transfer RNA (87 nucleotides) under Fusarium acuminatum. Its description in RNAcentral is "tRNA-Trp". It matches the Rfam family "tRNA". From Rfam's summary of the family: Transfer RNA (tRNA) molecules are approximately 80 nucleotides in length. RNAcentral also lists the same sequence under 4 other names. Lineage: Eukaryota; Fungi; Ascomycota; Sordariomycetes; Hypocreales; Nectriaceae. The record is from RNAcentral.